UACGUAGGGUGCGAGCGUUGUCCGGAAUUAUUGGGCGUAAAGAGCUCGUAGGCGGUCUGUCGCGUCGAAUGUGAAAACCCGGGGCUCAACUCCGGGCCUGCAUUCGAUACGGGCAGACUAGAGUUCGGUAGGGGAGACUGGAAUUCCUGGUGUAGCGGUGAAAUGCGCAGAUAUCAGGAGGAACACCGGUGGCGAAGGCGGGUCUCUGGGCCGAUACUGACGCUGAGGAGCGAAAGCGUGGGGAGCAAACAGG
This 253-nucleotide ribosomal RNA is filed under the name uncultured bacterium. RNAcentral's name for it is "partial 16S ribosomal RNA". It matches the Rfam family "Bacterial small subunit ribosomal RNA", at positions 524 to 776 of the family's 1533-position model. The record is from RNAcentral.